GAGGGAAAGGUGAAAAGAACCCCGGGAGGGGAGUGAAAUAGAACAUGAAACCGUGAGCCUACAAGCAAUGGGAGCCCGACUAAUCGGGUGACCGUGUGCCUGUUGAAGAAUGAGCCGGCGACUUAUAGGCACUGGCAGGUUAAACCGGAAAUGGUGGAGCCAUAGCGAAAGCGAGUCUGAAUAGGGCGAUCGUCAGUGUUUAUAGACCCGAACCCGGGUGAUCUAACCAUGGCCAGGAUGAAGCUUGGGUGAUACCAAGUGGAGGUCCGAACCGACUGAUGUUGAAAAAUCAGCGGAUGAGCUGUGGUUAGGGGUGAAAUGCCAAUCGAACCCGGAGCUAGCUGGUUCUCCCCGAAAUACGUUGAGGCGUAGCGUCUAGUGCUCCAGCAGGGGGGUAAAGCCACCAUUUCGGUGCGGGCUGCGAGAGCGGUACCUAAUCGAGAUGAACUCUGAAUACCCUGUGUGUAACUAGGCAGUCAGACUGUGGGGGAUAAGCUCCAUAGUCGAAAGGGAAACAGCCCAGACCGCCAGCUAAGGUCCCUAAGUUAACACUAAGUGAUAAAGGAGGUGGGAUUGCACAGACAACCAGGAGGUUUGCCUAGAAGCAGCCAUCCUCAAAGGAGUGCGUAAUAGCUCACUGGUCGAGCGAUCCUGCGCCGAAAAUGAACGGGGCUAAGUGUUGUACCGAAGCUGCGGAUUUAACUUGUUAAAUGGUAGGGGAGCGUUCUAUGUGGGGCGAAGCGUUAGCGUAAGCGGGCGUGGACUGCAUAGAAGUGAGAAUGUCGGCUUGAGUAGCGAAAACAUGGGUGAGAAUCCCAUGCCCCGAAACCCUAAGGGUUCCUCCGGCAGGCUCGUCCACGGAGGGUUAGUCUGGACCUAAGGCGAGGCCGAAAGGCGUAGUCGAUGGACAACAGGUCAACAUUCCUGUACCGGUUAUGUUUUGGGAAGGGGGACGGAGAAGGCUAGCCAAGCCAGAUGUUGGUUACUGGUUUAAGCGUUCGAGGCGUUGAGGAGCGGAGAAAACGUUCUGAGCUAAGGCGUGAAUACGAGCUGCUACGGCAGUGAAGUUGGUGAUGUCAUGCUUCCAAGAAAAGCCCUAUACCCGUUAAGGCAUAACUGCCAGUACCCGAAACCGACACAGGUAGGGUGGUAGAGAAUACCGAGGGGCGCGAGAUAACUCUCUCUAAGGAACUCGGCAAAAUGGCCCCGUAACUUCGGGAGAAGGGGUGCCAGCGAGAGCUGGUCGCAGUGAAGAGGCCCAGGCGACUGUUUACCAAAAACACAGGUCUCCGCUAAGUCGCAAGACGAUGUAUGGGGGCUGACGCCUGCCCAGUGCCGGAAGGUUAAGGAAGCCGGUCAGCGUAAGCGAAGCUGGCGACUGAAGCCCCGGUGAACGGCGGCCGUAACUAUAACGGUCCUAAGGUAGCGAAAUUCCUUGUCGGGUAAGUUCCGACCCGCACGAAAGGCGUAACGAUCUGGGCGCUGUCUCGGAGAGAGGCUCGGCGAAAUAGAAUUGUCUGUGAAGAUGCGGACUACGUACACCCGGACAGAAAGACCCUAUGAAGCUUUACUGUAGCUUGGUAUUGUGCUCGGGCUCUGAAUGCGCAGGAUAGGUGGGAGACGUUGAAGUAGUGCUCGUGGGU
This 1643-nucleotide ribosomal RNA is filed under the name marine metagenome. RNAcentral describes it as "bacterial LSU rRNA". It matches the Rfam family "Bacterial large subunit ribosomal RNA", at positions 505 to 2176 of the family's 2925-position model. The record is from RNAcentral.